UAUCUGCAGAGCUGUUUGGGAGUUUGUUUGUUGUUUGUUUGUCUGUUUCUCUCUCAAAAAGGAGAACUUUUUGGCUUACUGACCAGGAAAGCAUUAAAGAACAAAUGACUUCCACCUAGUAACAGAUUUAUACAUGUCACCAUCACUUCAUGUUUUUCUUCUGUUCGCUGUUUCCCCAGAUGCUUUCCUGGGGAAGUUUUGCUUUCUUUAGCUUGUGUGUAACCUUUGUCCUUUCUUAUUACUCUUCUCUUCUUCUUGUGGGUUUUCUCUAUCUUUUGGUGUUUUGGGUUUUUGUUUUGUUCUGUUUUGUUUUGUUUUCUUCCUUCUUUUUCUCUUUUCACUUUUAUUUUCUGAACCCAUCUCCUGGUUCCUCGUUCCCUGCAU
This 384-nucleotide long non-coding RNA is filed under the name Rattus norvegicus (Norway rat). RNAcentral's name for it is "long non-coding RNA NONRATT004886". Lineage: Eukaryota; Metazoa; Chordata; Mammalia; Rodentia; Muridae. The record is from RNAcentral.